RNAcentral lists this ribosomal RNA (187 nucleotides) under uncultured bacterium. RNAcentral describes it as "partial 16S ribosomal RNA". It matches the Rfam family "Bacterial small subunit ribosomal RNA", at positions 1314 to 1500 of the family's 1533-position model. The record is from RNAcentral.
GACUACAUGAAGCUGGAAUCGCUAGUAAUCGCGGAUCAGAAUGCCGCGGUGAUACGUUCCCGGGUCUUGUACACACCGCCCGUCACACCAUGGGAGUCGAUAACGCCCGAAGUCAGUGACCCAACCUGUAAGGAGGGAGCUGCCGAAGGCGGGAUUGAUAACUGGGGUGAAGUCGUAACAAGGUAGC